Molecule: ribosomal RNA, 433 nt
Filed under: uncultured bacterium
Lineage: Bacteria
Description: partial 16S ribosomal RNA
Rfam family: Bacterial small subunit ribosomal RNA
Source: RNAcentral
AACGAACGCUGGCGGCAUGCCUAACACAUGCAAGUCGAACGAGACCUUCGGGUCUAUUGGCGCACGGGUGCGUAACGCGUGGGAACCUGCCCUUAGGUUCGGAAUAACUCCCCGAAAGGGGUGCUAAUACCGGAUAAUGUCUUCGGACCAAAGAUUUAUCGCCGUUGGAUGGGCCCGCGUUGGAUUAGCUAGUUGGUAGGGUAAAAGCCUACCAAGGCGACGAUCCAUAGCUGGUCUGAGAGGAUGAUCAGCCACACUGGGACUGAGACACGGCCCAGACUCCUACGGGAGGCAGCAGUGGGGAAUAUUGGACAAUGGGCGAAAGCCUGAUCCAGCAAUGCCGCGUGAGUGAUGAAGGCCUUAGGGUUGUAAAGCUCUUUUACCCGGGAUGAUAAUGACAGUACCGGGAGAAUAAGCUCCGGCUAACUCCGUG